CGGCGUGGAUUAGGCAUGCAAGUCGGACGGUAUGGACCUUUCGGGGUUCAGAGAGUGGCGAACGGGUGAGUAACACGUAGGUAAUCUACCCUCAAGACGGGGACAACCCAGGGAAACUUGGGCUAAUACCGGAUGAGUGUAGUGGCUGUUUUUCUGAAUAUCAUUAUUCACGUAAGUGAGUGAUUAUAAGAAGGGAAAGCGGUUAUUACAUAAAAGGUGGCUUUAGCUGCCGCUUGGGGAUGAGCCUGCGUCCUAUUAGUUAGUUGGUGAGGUAAUGGCUUACCAAGGCGAUGAUAGGUAGGCGGCCUUAACGGGUGGUCGCCCACACUGGGAUUGAGAUACGGCCCAGACUCCUACGGGAGGCAGCAGUCGAGAAUAGUCUACAAUGGACGAAAGUCUGAUAGUGCGACGCCGCGUGAACGAAGAAUCCCUUCGGGGUGUAAAGUUCUUUUAUACGUGAGCAGUGCCCUUUAUAUUAAUAGUAUAUGGGGAGAGAUAUUAGCGUAUGAAUAAGCAACGGCUAACUCCGUG
This 531-nucleotide ribosomal RNA is filed under the name uncultured bacterium. RNAcentral describes it as "bacterial SSU rRNA". It matches the Rfam family "Bacterial small subunit ribosomal RNA", at positions 40 to 507 of the family's 1533-position model. The record is from RNAcentral.